AUUGAACGCUGGCGGCAGGCCUAACACAUGCAAGUCGAAUGGUAACAGGAAACAGCUUGCUGUUUCGCUGACGAGUGGCGGACGGGUGAGUAAUGUCUGGGAAACUGCCUGAUGGAGGGGGAUAACUACUGGAAACGGUAGCUAAUACCGCAUAACGUCGCAAGACCAAAGAGGGGGACCUUCGGGCCUCUUGCCAUCAGAUGUGCCCAGAUGGAAUUAGCUAGUAGGUGGGGUAACGGCUCACCUAGGCGACGAUCCCUAGCUGGUCUGAGAGGAUGACCAGCCACACUGGAACUGAGACACGGUCCAGACUCCUACGGGAGGCAGCAGUGGGGAAUAUUGCACAAUGGGCGCAAGCCUGAUGCAGCCAUGCCGCGUGUAUGAAGAAGGCCUUCGGGUUGUAAAGUACUUUCAGCGGGGAGGAAGGGAGUAAAGUUAAUACCUUUGCUCAUUGACGUUACCCGCAGAAGAAGCACCGGCUAACUCCGUG
Molecule: ribosomal RNA, 490 nt
Filed under: uncultured bacterium
Lineage: Bacteria
Description: partial 16S ribosomal RNA
Rfam family: Bacterial small subunit ribosomal RNA
Source: RNAcentral